RNAcentral lists this signal recognition particle RNA (97 nucleotides) under Paracoccus sp. (in: a-proteobacteria). RNAcentral's name for it is "signal recognition particle sRNA small type". It matches the Rfam family "Bacterial small signal recognition particle RNA". Rfam says of the family: The signal recognition particle (SRP) is a universally conserved ribonucleoprotein involved in the co-translational targeting of proteins to membranes. Lineage: Bacteria; Pseudomonadati; Pseudomonadota; Alphaproteobacteria; Rhodobacterales; Paracoccaceae. The record is from RNAcentral.
GAGAGGUUGGCGCGGGCAGGUGCCUCGCCAACCCGGUCAGGACCGGAAGGUAGCAGCCGUAACGAGAUCCGCUUGGGUCGCUGUCCAGCCUCUCACC